GCACCUCAUGAAUGCUAAUCUAAAUAUUAAUGAGCCUUGCAUUCACUUGUGCGUUGUUACACUGCAUAAUGGCGACAGGUGAGAAAAGAGCAAAAAAAAACGUAAUUUCUCAGACACUGACAUACACAUACUUGUAGGGGAGGUGGAGGCCCGGAAAACAACAUUAUUUGGUGGCCACAGCAGUGGGAUCACUAAUAAAAAGAAGCAGUGCGAGUGGCAACGUGUUGCUGCUUCUGUCAACUGCAUCAGUGGGACAGAACAGACAGUUGCAGAACUAAAGGAAAAGUGGUCCGAUCUGAAGUUAUAUAAUGGUAGAGUACUUGAUGCUAUCCUGUACUCCAUCCUGCCCUGCCAUCUCCACCUGCACUCCCUCGCACUGUUGUACAAAUAUGUCUUAGUGAAAAGAAAAAGAAGAAGAAGAAGAAGAAGAAGAAGAAGAAGAAGAAGAAGAAGAAGAAGAAGAAGAAAGUCUGGUCAGCAUUCUAUUAAGAGAGUUAACUUAAAGGUAUACUCCAUCCCAAAAUGAAAAUUUU
Cyprinus carpio (common carp) is the source of this 533-nucleotide long non-coding RNA. The record is from Ensembl. NCBI's taxonomy places the organism in Eukaryota, Metazoa, Chordata, Actinopteri, Cypriniformes, Cyprinidae.